Molecule: ribosomal RNA, 505 nt
Filed under: uncultured bacterium
Lineage: Bacteria
Description: partial 16S ribosomal RNA
Rfam family: Bacterial small subunit ribosomal RNA
Source: RNAcentral
GACGAACGCUGGCGGCGUGCCUAAUACAUGCAAGUAGAACGCACAGUUUAUACCGUAGCUUGCUACACCAUAGACUGUGAGUUGCGAACGGGUGAGUAACGCGUAGGUAACCUGCCUGGUAGCGGGGGAUAACUAUUGGAAACGAUAGCUAAUACCGCAUAAUAUUAAUUAUUGCAUGAUAAUUAAUUGAAAGGUGCAAUUGCACCACUACCAGAUGGACCUGCGUUGUAUUAGCUAGUAGGUGAGGUAACGGCUCACCUAGGCGACGAUACAUAGCCGACCUGAGAGGGUGAUCGGCCACACUGGGACUGAGACACGGCCCAGACUCCUACGGGAGGCAGCAGUAGGGAAUCUUCGGCAAUGGACGAAAGUCUGACCGAGCAACGCCGCGUGAGUGAAGAAGGUUUUCGGAUCGUAAAGCUCUGUUGUAAGAGAAGAACGGGUGUGAGAGUGGAAAGUUCAUACUGUGACGGUAUCUGACCAGAAAGGGACGGCUAACUACGUG